Long non-coding RNA from Marmota monax (woodchuck), 9066 nucleotides. RefSeq lists it as uncharacterized. The record is from RefSeq and is a predicted model, not a curated record. Lineage: Eukaryota; Metazoa; Chordata; Mammalia; Rodentia; Sciuridae. The transcript is spliced from 6 exons.
CGCCGAGACCGGACGCGGAGAUGCCCACCCUGGGGAGGGGAGCGGGGCGAGGCGCCCCCUGGAAGAGCCUGUCUAGGGCCUUCGUGGGUGGAGGGCAGCAGGCAGCCUAGGAGAGCGGGGCAGGGCUCUGGAAGCACCCUGGCAUGCUGGGGGCGGGCUCAGGUCCAGGUCCGUGUCCUCGGGGAGCGCGCUGGGGCCGGCUGGGGAAGGCGCCCGCCUGCGUCUAACCUCUCCCGCUCCCCUCUGCGUUUCCUGCCUCAGGGAGAAAGUGUCUGCAGCAGGAGUGUUUGGGAAGAGGCUGUCCCCGCCCUGGUGGGCGGUGGUCCCCCAGAGCCCCCUCCCCCAGUUCUGGGAGCUCCUCUCCUGCUGGGCUCUCUCCUGAGUCCUCCUUGAACUUGCCUUCAGCUGGAGAAGCCAGCCUCCCCAGAGUCACCCGCCUUUGCCAGCUGCCUCUAUUCCCCAUGCCCGGCAGACACGGUGGGUGAAGCCUGGUCGCCUUGUCUCCCCUGGGGCAACUCCAGGGCCCCCCAGCUCCAGAGCUGCUGCAGGAUGGGGGGCUGUGAGCUCCCUGUCUCCUCUCCAGGUCACCUCCCUGCAGGGGGCCCUGUGAAGGUCUGUGACUGCUGAGCACCUUCUUUCCUUCCAGCCCCCCUCCCCGAGAAGGGGGGGAGUUCCGUGUGCCACACUCUGUCCACAGGGCUAGGUUCCUCUUCUUUUGGACAGUUUGUUCAAAAGACAGAAAAGAAAUGAACAGCAGGAAGAAGACUGGGUGUGUGUGCUCUCUGCAGGCUGAAUCAGGGUGAUGAGCUAGGGGAGGGGACCCCACUUUAUAUAGGGUGGCCAGGCAGGGCCUUCUGAGCAAGUGACAUUUAAAAAGAAAUUUGAAUGACAAGGAGGAGCCAGCAAGUCUGAAGAAUGAACUAAAGAAAUUUCCAGACAGAGGGACAGCAGGUGCAAAGACUCGAGGUGGUACAAGUUUGUCAUGUUCAAGGGACAGAGAAGAUGACAUGGGUGGCAGAGGGGAGAUGGCAGCAGGGCCAGAUCAGGUUGCAGGGCUUUGUGCCCCAGCAGAAAAAGCUGGGAUCUCCUUCCAGGGGCCAGGGGAUGGCAUGUGGGCUGGGCUAAGCGGGAGUGACUGAUGUGAUGAAAAAAUAUUUUUAAUUAAAUUUAAAAAAAUUUUUGUGCUGGGGAUCAAGCCCAGGGCCUUGAGCAUGCUAGGCAAGCAUUGUGCCACCAAGCUGCACUCCCAAUUCCUGAAGUUUUGUUUCUUUUAAGUUGUAGUAAAAUAUACACAAUGUAAAACUCACCAUUUUGACCAUCUUUAAGUGGAUAGUUCGGUGGCAUUGAAUACACCUGCAGUGUGUACCAACAUCACCACCAUCUAUCUCUGAAAUAUUUUUAUCUUCCCAAAGUGUCCUCAUUAAACACCAACUGCCCUCCCCCAGCCCUUGGGACCCCACUCUAUUUUCCUUCUCUAUGAAUUUGAUUGCUCUAGGGACCUCCUGUGAGUGAGGCCAUGUAGCUAGCGUUUGUCCUGUUGUGACUCGCUCGUGCCCCUUGGCAUCGUGUCUCCCAGGGUCAAUCUACGUGUGCAUCAGAAUUUCCUUCCUCUGAAUGGUGCACCUAACCUUCUCACUGGGCUCUGGUCACAGGCAUCUUCUGCCUACACGCCUCUGACCUCUAUGUCUAAGCCCCUGUCUGACCCGGGCUCCCUGGUUCCACUUUCCCCUUCUGUAAAAUGGGGUGACAGCAGCACCCUCCCAGGACUGGCGCGGGCUGGUUGAGAUAAUGGAAUGAAGGGCUUGGCAUGGAGCAUGCACCUGGAUUCUAGGUGGAAAGUGGGGGAUCACAAACCUUGGCACAAAGGGUCUAGGCGCAGUGAGUCUCCGUCAGCAAGGUCUGGGGUAACCCUCCUGAAAUCUGCGCACCCAGACGCCAGCCAGGGCCGGCCUCCCAGAAGCCUUUCUGCGGACGGAGGUCUGAGGUCUGCCACAGGGCUCUUCACUGCAAGAUCAUUUCUUCCAUGCCUAGGACGUAUUGCCUUCAUGCUGUGCCCUGUCAGGUGACAUGGAGUCCAGGUGGGAGUUGGGGUCCCUCAGGCUGUGUUCCCAGGGCAGAGGAAGCCUGGAGUCUCCCUGAGAAAGGUAGACGGGGAGCAGCAGCCCUGGCUUAGGCGGGUCGUGCCCCUUGGGCACAAGGGCCCCUUCUGUGAAUGUGUGCACACACACCACAGGCCUCUGGGGUUCCUCCAGGUACCUCGGAGGAAGCCUCUGAAAUGACCCCAGGGACUGGCCACUGGCCAGCUCAGAACCACAACCCGUCGUUAAUAACUCACUUUGCCCGUCUGCUCUUUUGGGGCACUGUUGGUCCAUGAGAAGCCCGUGAGGCUCCCAAAUGUGGGCUGGCAAGUCGGGCAUCAGGAAUCACCCGUCCAUGCGAAGCGCUCUCAGGCACAGAUGUGUGGUGGCCAGGGCGGAGGAGGGAGCCACGGCCCAGGCUGAGUGGUGGGCUCUGGGCUCCUCCUGUUGCCUGCUGUGGGUCUUGGUCUCUGGUACCCCUUCCCUCCGCUGCUGUCUAGGGUUCCUCACUGGCCACCCUCUCCACUUGUGGAAAUUGGAGGCCCAGAGGAAUGAGGUGCUUGGUCUCCUGACACAGCCAGGAAGAGGUGGUACUCUGGAUGGGAGCCCCUCAGGCCUCUGAGCUCUGCUGUCCACCCUGAGAGGUGUAGUUCCAGGAGCAAGGCACUCCCCCCACCCCCACCCCUGUUCUAGCUCAGGGACAGGAUGUUUGCCCCCAGGUGGCCAUGAGCCACCAACUGUGAGCUCCUUAGAGACCUAGAAGGUGUGCUCAGGAGUUAAAGCUCCGCGUACGUACAACAGUGGUGCUUAAUUCUGCUGGUUGAUAUGCUCAUGCUCUCCUGGUGGCCAGGAUUAACACCGUGAAUUCUGUCAGCUCAUCAUCCCUGCGUGGUGGGUAGUCAGGUUCCACAAGGCCAGUCAGAGGGAGGAGGACUGACUGGUCCUCUUCUGGCCACGCAGGGUCAUUUUGGCUCCUUCCUGUGGCUGGACACAGGACUGUGACUCAGGUCCAACCCCACAUAAACGGCACUGUGGUAGGACGUUUCCUUUACUCUCUUCACUGCGGUAUCUGCAGCCUGCUGACCAGCACCUGGCACCCAGUAGGCCCUCAGUAAGCCAUGGGGGCUGGAGGGGCUGAGGAAGUGCCCCGGGACCCCAUCUAUCUUCCCGUCCUUGCCCAUCCCGGACUCCACUGAAGCUCGGUCUGUCCGCGUGAAAGCAGGAGUGCUCUUGGGCAGGGGAGGACAGCGCCUCCUUGACCUUCAUCCACGGAGAAGGCUGAUCCUAGGCGGCCCGGAAGCCACAGAGGCCAGCACAGCCUCCGGUGGGCCACCGGCGGGUUCCGGGAGUCGGCCUGAGCGAGCUACAGAGGCCCCUGGCUGAUGGAGAUAAGGUUGAUAAACAGGCCAGUACCUUCCCGCCACCCUCUUUUAGAGACCCGCUAUUCUUUAUGGCUUUGCUCAGGUAGAUCAUUCGGCGCCAUAAAUUUUCUUAUCUCCAGUGCUUUUCCAAUUAUGGAUAACAACAGAAAAGCCGUCAUUGGCUUCUAAAAGGUCAUCAAGAUAUAGAGCCCACGCGGGAAGGGGAUGACGGAUGCAGUUGGCUUGUAUAAAUCUCAAGAAGUUUUAUGCACGAGUCAGACGAGAAACUGUUUUACAUAUGGAUUGCGGGGAGCCGAGAAGUCCUUAUGAAGCCCUGCCCGUGGCUAGUGGCAUCCCAAGGACAUGUGGCAAUUGGUCUCCACCUCAUGGAACAGCUGGCUGGAAGAGGUCACGGAAACCACAGGUCUGCGGGACACCAGAAAUGCUGGCGUCCCAUGGACAGUCAACUGGCUCCUGGUGACACUGUCCUCCUGACAUGUGAGGGGUGGGACGUGUUGGUCUGGCUUUGAUUGUCCCAGGGCAGGUCUGAGCCCCUGCCUGGGAGCCAGUGUGGGUUCUCAGCCUCCCAGGGCAGGUCUGAGCAGCAGCUCUUGUAAGCACUUCCCCAGGGGCUUCACACGCACCAAGGAGGAGAGGAGGAGCACCUGUGUGGAGCUUCCUCCUCCCUCUGUGGAGAGUGCAGAAAGGUGAAGUGGCAGUUAGUGACACUGUGGCAACCUCUGCUUUGCAGGGACUUGCGAUAUUAUCAAAGACGGAACCGUGAUGCCAAUGUGGAGAGCGCCAGGCGGUGCAUCUCUCGGAAGCUGUUGAUGUAGGCUGAUCAGAAGGCGGACCCCAGCCUGAGGGUCGGCAUGAGUCAGCUUCUGUGAGGAGAUACUGGAGGCCGGCUUCUUGGGAAGACAAGGAGGGUUCUUGAGCUCACUGUUUUGGAGGUCAGGGGACCCCUUGCUUUGGUCCUCUGGUGAGGGUGGCCGUGCACGUUGGAGAGAAUGCCCUCUCCACCCACGGUCCCCUAGGUCCCCUGGAGGCUACGUCCCCAGUGACCCGAGGACCUCCCACCAGGCCCACAGCAUCUCCAGCAGGUCUACCCUGGGGACCAAGUCUUUAAAACACAAAGCCUGGGGACACUGCCUGUAUUCACACCAUAGGUCUCUGCUGCUCUUCAGCUGUCCCUUGCUGUGCCAAUGCAGCAGCUGUACCCACCCAGAGCAAGGCACAGAGGGGAACCUCAGACGCGAUGGAGUCCUGCACCGUGGUGCAGAGGUGGGCUGCUGAGUGUCCCACAGCUGGCCCCCUGGGGCAGUCCUGAUGGCCUCGUUUCCUCAUGCCCAUGAUGAAAAUACUCCCGCUGUGGCCAAUUUCAAGGGCACUCUGCUGACCUUGGAGCCAGGUGGGCUGUGCCAAUGGGCUGUCUCAAACUGGGCUGAGCCAACCCAGCACCCACUCCACCUGCCGCCCGGGGAAUGGGCUGCAGUGAGGCGGAAAUGGCCCAGGUGACAGCAGGAGCCGGCAGCCACCUCAGGGCUGGGCAGGCUAAGCCGUGUCCGCCAGGGUGGCGGGGGUGAGUAGGUGUGACCCUGGGGAGGGAGCACAGCCCAGGAUCUGGGGACCAGAGUCAGCAGAGAGGUGCUGGGGCUCGUGGGGCAACACCUCCUGGGGCGGAGCAGGGGACACUGGCCUGCCACUAACCUCAGCCCCAGGGCCUCAGGAGCCAUGCCCGGCUCACCCGGGCCAGGUCUGGGAGAGGCAGAAGGAAGCACAGCCCCCGGGCCUGGGUAGGGGCCUGGCCUUCCCCGGAGCCUCCCCUUCCUUUCCAUUGUCCCCCAUCCCUUCCCCAGUCCUGAGAGAUGGCCCCCUGAGCCCCGGCAGCAGUUUGCCCACUUCCUGCCCUCGCUCCAGCUGGCCUCCCCCGCAGCCCUGCCCCACCCUGCCUUCAGGGCCACAGCAGCCCUUCACGUCCCCAGAGGCUCUCUGCAAACGUCAGUCCUCCAUGAGGACCUUCCCAGUCCCCUGAACCAGGGAGAGCCAUCAUCCUUCCUCCCCAAGAUGCCAUUCCUCUGGUACAGCAUUGGUGACGUGUGUCCUGUGUGACAGUGUGGCCCUUCCAGCCACUUGGCUGCUGUUUCUGCUCUCCUGGUGCUGAGGUGGGGGCACAAGGAGGAGGAGAGGGUGCCCAGGCUGACCCCUUGGUCCACUCCUGACCAGUACAACACCAGGUACCACAGAAGAGGAGGACCAGCAAGGCACUGGGGGGUUCAGGGGAGGAUCUCUGUGCCCCGCGGCUGUAGGAGGCGGUGCUUGCAGUUGCAGGAGGGACGAGGUGGCCAUGUGGAAUGGCCCUUCUAUUAUAACAGCCAACUCAGUGUAGGGAGGCGGCUGGGCGGCCACCGUGACCCCUGUUCUCGUGGGGCCACAGUUCCUUGCUCAGCGCCCCCUCCAACCCGAGGGGAAUCUUGUGCAGUGUCCCUGUCCCCUGCAGGCUCUUCUGCAGGACAAAGGAUGACAACCCUCAAGCUUACAGACUGAUGAGACCGAGUCGGGUGCAGGGACGUUUGUCACGUUGCAGAGUGACAAAGAGGAAGAACGUCUAAGAGAAGAGGUGGAAACCCUGUCUCCGAGAGAUCCUGUCCCAAACCACAGUGUCCCAGGGUCCAGUGGGCAGUGCCUGGUCCUGGGAAUGGAGAUCUGUGUGGAUGGCUCCCUUAUUGGCCAGGAGGAGCAGGAGAAGUGGCUCUGGGAGCUCGCCGCCGUGCAUUCUGCUGUUUUUCUGAUUCCUUUCUCAGCAGAAUCACUACUGGAGUCUGGGAAAGCUAUGGGUCUGUGUACGUUGACCUUGGAUCCUGUCCUCUGCUGAACUUGUUUAUCAGGUGUCUUCUGGUGGAGUCUUGCAUCUUCCAGAUACAGGAUGAGAACAUCAUAAUAAGUGAAUGGAAAGAAGACAGAAGAGUAGAGAGGGGCAGACAGGCAGAAGGACGAGGGAGGAAGGAGGAAGCACUGGGGACUUAAAUGGAGCAAACCAUCCACGCGUGUGUGGUCAUGUCAAAAUGAACCCGUCAUGUUACGUGUGACUAUGUUGCCUGGUCACAUUCGAGUUGCGGCCAACGAUCGUGGAAAGACCCCCAGCUUGCUUGUCACUAGGGGAAUGCAAAUGAAACCACCAGGAGAUCCACUUCACACCUUCUGCGAUGGGCAGACCCAGACAGAGUUUGGCAAGUGCCGGCGGGGACAUGGAGAAAUCGACACCCUGCACAUUCCUGGUAGGAGUGUCGAGUGCUGCAACCCAAAUGGAAAGCCGUCCAGUGGUUCCUCAAUAUAAAUAUAAAAUUACUUUUGUGACUCAGCAAUUCCACUCCAUGGUACCUACACCAAAGAAUUGGAAAAAACAAAAUACUUGUCCGUGAGUGUUCAUAGCCGCAGUAUUCAUCAGAGCCCAAAGCUGGAAGGAACCCCAAUGUCUGGAUAAGUGGAAAGACAAAUACUGGCCCCUCUACCUUUAGGCCCACAGUGACCCCCAAAGGAGCCACCCUGGGGACCAAGCCUGUUGCACAUGGGCCUUCGGGGGACACUCACAGUCAAACGGAAGCAGCUUCCUUGGGUGAUGAGAAACGUCCUGGAACCAGGUAGAGUGGUGGGCGACACUGUGGGUGUGCUAAAUGCCAUCUGGAACCCUGACUUCCACUGUGGCCCAGGCACGUAUAAAAUCCAGGUAGCGCCUGGGCACUGGGCUCCCAGCGGGCGACUCGGGGCUGCUGUGGUGGGUAAAGAUGGGGCUCUCCUCUGGCCUCCUACAGCUCAGGAAUAAUGGUUUGGGGGACAGAGUAGGGUAGUGGCCAAACUCCCCCCGGGAGCUGCCUUGGGAAUCACAGAAGAGCAAGAACCCCAGGGUGACAGGAAGGGUGAGCCACGCACAACUCCUCCCCUGCCACCCCACCCCACACCACCUCCUGUCCAGCAUCCUGGCCCGCAACCUGGAGGUGACCCUGGAUGGUGGCAUGUCCGCCAGCUCCUCCCCUCCCGGCAGGCCCCUGGAGGGCCAGUCGGGCUGUACGUGGCUCCCAGUCCUGGAGGAAGCUCAGGGACAGCCCAGGUGUGGCGAGUGGGUCUUCCUGGGCUAGAUAGUGGGCAGCUCACCCGAGGGCACAGUCUGGUCUCUCCUGCCACUGACAGAUGUGCUGUGCCUUCUGUGCACGGUGCCAUACUGGCCCAGGAGGCUGUGACCAACCACUGGCCCCUGUGGCCCCUGACCUACCUGAUGCCUGACCCCCCUCCCCACCCCAAGCUACAGCCUCCUCAAUCCUCUUCUGUGCCUCGGGGGCUCCUCUGUCCUCCAUCCACACUCCCCUGAGUUGGGGGGCAGCCACUGACAUACCUGAGCUCAGGUGGGCAGUCUAAUUUGGCUGAGAGUGGCCUGGGAGGGACACGCGUGGGACAGGUGGUGGAGGGCAGAGCAGGGGCCCCUGGCUUGUGUAGUCCACCAGAUCCGGAGAACCAGGGUGCCCAGUGUAUGGUCCCUGCACCACCCAGGGAGGGCCCAACAGGCUCCUGCAGGGGAGGUGAGAUUGGACUCCUUGUCCUUGCCUCAGGAGGUCGCAGGACCCCCCAGCCAGGGACUCCUCCCUCCUCUGGACAGGUCCACCCUCCCCCAAGGGCAGCCACUCGUAUCUUUGUAAGCACAACCCUCAGCUCUGGCCCCAUCUGGAACAAGGACAGAGAAGUGGAUUCAUGAAGGACUUGUAUAAACCUCGGGGACGGGAGAAGCCCUUCCCCUCCUCACAGCCUCAGAGAAACCUCUCUGGACAGAAGUGGCUCUCCAGGGUUGUGCUGAGGGCCCUCGAUCCUGACAUUACCAGCAAAGAGCAACCCCACCCCACCCCCCAAACUCGAGGAGCUGGAAACAGAUGUGCAAAGUCUCUGGGGACCUUCAUCCAGAGCGGGCGCCCCCCCCCCCGCCCCCCCUGCCCCUGGCCACAGGAACCAAAACCAUCCUUGGGAAGAGAGGAUAAUUAAUUCAAAAAGCCCACACCCCGGCCUCGGCCCUUUGACAAGGGGGAGGAGGGAGGCCAGGGAGAGCGCUGGGAGUCUAUUGCAUGAUCCCUGUCUCCUUCCAGCCCUAAUGAGACUCCCGGGCAUUAUCCCUGCGUGCAUUGUCUAGGGCAGCCGGAGAAGGGCGAGACCAACUUUAUUUCUGAAUUUGGACUGACUGAAAGAAGUGGCAUCACAUUUGAAGGGCACCCAAUCAAUCUGUUGCCCUCACUGCAUGAAAUUGUAUUCGCUUACCACUUCCUAUCUUGCCGGGCGCAGCUGGGCUGUAAGUCAUUGGUGAUAACAUUCUUUAUUAUGCCGUCGUGUUUAUGAACUGUGCCUGGAAAGAGAUGAUAGAAAUAUGCGGCAAUAUGCAAAGGAAGGGGGAGGGGGAGGGGGAGCAAAUGCUAGUUGCCAGGGCAACCGUGGGGCUAUUUUGGGCAUCGGAUUUUGCAGAUGAUGGAAACCAUUUCCCUGCAGUGGUUGGACUCUCCCCUCCCCCUUCCUGGAGGCAAUAAACGCAGAACCGAAUAUUUAGGAAGGAGAUGGCUUAAUUUCUUAAUUAAAUGUUAUUAUAUUCUUUC